RNAcentral lists this long non-coding RNA (292 nucleotides) under Capsicum annuum. RNAcentral describes it as "long non-coding RNA (CANN_LNC004450)". The record is from RNAcentral. Lineage: Eukaryota; Viridiplantae; Streptophyta; Magnoliopsida; Solanales; Solanaceae.
UCGGAUAAAAGUUAGACUUGAAUGGAUAUUUUGGGAUAUUAGAAGCGGAACGUGACUGCAUUAAGCUUACAACAACAACAACAAAAAACCCAGUAUAUUCCCACAUUGUGGGGUCUGGAGAGGGUAGAGUGUACGCAAUCCAUACCACUACCUCUAAAAAAGUAAAUAGGUUAUUUCCGAUAGACCCCCGACUCAAGACAAAGGACAGUAUAUAUAGGGGAAAAAUGCAUGGAACAUGAUAAAAUAACAUAAGUAUGACAUCCACCAAAAAUAUUGAACACUUCUAAACAAG